GAGGAAUAUUGCGCAAUGGACGUAAGUCUGACGCAGCAACGCCGCGUGAGGGAUGAAGCACUAUGGUGUGUAAACCUCUGUAGAGAGGGAAGAAAGUUAUAUACUUAAAGGUAUGUAUUUGACGGUACCUCUAAAGUAAGCUCCGGCUAACUCCGUGCCAGCAGCCGCGGUAAUACGGGGGGAGCAAGCGUUGUCCGGAAUCACUGGGCGUAAAGGGCGUGUAGGCUGGUUGGUAAGUCAGAUGUGAAAGGCUGCGGCUUAACCGUAGAUGUGCAUUUGAUACUGCUGAUCUUGAGUGCGAGAGAGGGUAGUGGAAUUCCCAGUGUAGCGGUGAAAUGCGUAGAUAUUGGGAAGAACACCGGUAGCGAAGGCGGCUACCUGGCUCGUAACUGACGCUAAUGCGCGAAAGCGUGGGGAUCAAAC
RNAcentral lists this ribosomal RNA (423 nucleotides) under uncultured bacterium. RNAcentral's name for it is "bacterial SSU rRNA". It matches the Rfam family "Bacterial small subunit ribosomal RNA", at positions 356 to 773 of the family's 1533-position model. The record is from RNAcentral.